AAUAUUGGACAAUGGGCGAAAGCCUGAUCCAGCGACGCCGCGUGGGUGAAGAAGGCCUGCGGGUUGUAAAGCCCUUUCGGUGGGGAAGAAAAGCCUCGAGUCACCACCUCGGGGUCUUGACGUAACCCAUAGAAGAAGCACCUGCUAACUAUGUGCCAGCAGCCGCGGUAAUACAGAGGGUGCGAGCGUUAAUCGGAAUUACUGGGCGUAAAGCGCGCGUAGGCGGCUUUGCAAGUCGGGUGUGAAAGCCCCAGGCUUAACCUGGGAACUGCAUUCGAGACUGCAUUGCUAGAGUAUGGGAGAGGGAAGUGGAAUUUCCGGUGUAGCGGUGAAAUGCGUAGAUAUCGGAAGGAACAUCAGUGGCGAAAGCGACUUCCUGGACCAAUACUGACGCUCAUGUGCGAAAGCGUGGGGAGCAAAC
RNAcentral lists this ribosomal RNA (421 nucleotides) under uncultured bacterium. RNAcentral describes it as "bacterial SSU rRNA". It matches the Rfam family "Bacterial small subunit ribosomal RNA", at positions 360 to 773 of the family's 1533-position model. The record is from RNAcentral.